AUUGAACGCUGGCGGCAUGCCUUACACAUGCAAGUCGAACGGUAACAGGUCUUCGGAUGCUAACGAGUGGCGAACGGGUGAGUAAUACAUCGGAACGUGCCCGAUCGUGGGGGAUAACGAGGCGAAAGCUUUGCUAAUACCGCAUACGAUCUACGGAUGAAAGCGGGGGAUCUUCGGACCUCGCGCGGACGGAGCGGCCGAUGGCAGAUUAGGUAGUUGGUGGGAUAAAAGCUUACCAAGCCGACGAUCUGUAGCUGGUCUGAGAGGAUGAUCAGCCACACUGGGACUGAGACACGGCCCAGACUCCUACGGGAGGCAGCAGUGGGGAAUUUUGGACAAUGGGCGAAAGCCUGAUCCAGCCAUGCCGCGUGCAGGAUGAAGGCCUUCGGGUUGUAAACUGCUUUUGUACGGAACGAAAAGCCUCUUUCUAAUAAAGAGGGGUCAUGACGGUACCGUAAGAAUAAGCACCGGCUAACUACGUG
RNAcentral lists this ribosomal RNA (482 nucleotides) under uncultured bacterium. RNAcentral's name for it is "partial 16S ribosomal RNA". It matches the Rfam family "Bacterial small subunit ribosomal RNA", at positions 30 to 507 of the family's 1533-position model. The record is from RNAcentral.